RNAcentral lists this ribosomal RNA (432 nucleotides) under uncultured bacterium. RNAcentral describes it as "partial 16S ribosomal RNA". It matches the Rfam family "Bacterial small subunit ribosomal RNA", at positions 29 to 507 of the family's 1533-position model. The record is from RNAcentral.
ACGAACGCUGGCGGCAUGCCUAACACAUGCAAGUCGAACGAGACCUUCGGGUCUAGUGGCGCACGGGUGCGUAACGCGUGGGAACCUGCCCUUAGGUUCGGAAUAACUCCCCGAAAGGGGUGCUAAUACCGGAUAAUGUCUUCGGACCAAAGAUUUAUCGCCUUUGGAUGGGCCCGCGUUGGAUUAGCUAGUUGGUAGGGUAAAAGCCUACCAAGGCGACGAUCCAUAGCUGGUCCGAGAGGAUGAUCAGCCACACUGGGACUGAGACACGGCCCAGACUCCUACGGGAGGCAGCAGUGGGGAAUAUUGGACAAUGGGCGAAAGCCUGAUCCAGCAAUGCCGCGUGAGUGAUGAAGGCCUUAGGGUUGUAAAGCUCUUUUACCCGGGAUGAUAAUGACAGUACCGGGAGAAUAAGCUCCGGCUAACUCCGUG